UUGUCUUGCAUGCUCUCGGUGAGUCCGGGAGCCUCCAGUAUGGUGCGAGGGACCAGAUCCUUCACCACAUUUCUCAGUUAGUCGAUUUUUGGAAUAUUGUGCAGAUUUAGCCUUAAAAUCCUCAGUAUCAUAGUGAGGCUUCCAGCUCUCCCAAAUAGAUUUUGGGAUAUUUUUUCGUUUCUCCUCAGAGGAUCUUGCUUCACAUAACAUACCCCUGUAUUGUAUUGAACAUUUUUUCAUAAAAUGAUCCUUUAUGGAACCUUCAGUUGUAAUAUUCCAAUGGAAUCGCUUAUGUUUAAGAAUAUAGAGAAAAAUAUCACAUAAAUUGAUAUAACAUAAAUUCUAAAUGAAUAUAAUACAUUAAUAAAAUGAUAGCAAAAUGGAAUUUAUGGGUAUAAUGAGUACAUGAAUAUUAUAUUAGAAGGAGACACAAUCAGGUAUCGAAAGGUGUACCAAAAAAAGUAUCAUAGGUGUUGAAAAAAGCUUGGAAAGGAGGGAAGUAUAUUGAAGAAGCUCGAAUGAACAUGGAUGAACUAGGAAAGGAUGGAUGCAUCUUAUCAAAAUGCUUCCAUGCAGGUGCUUCUGAACAGUGACGCAUCACACCUUCCUCAACUUCAUGUUCAGCGUGCCAUCGCAUGUGUGAAGCAGUUGCUGUGGAAGCAUACAUUCGUUGCAGUCGUGGAGUAAGAGGAAAGUAAUACAUCUGUUUGAAUGGUACAAGAUUUUUCUUCUGAAUAGAUCUUUGACUUGUAAGCUUAUACCUGGGAUGACUACAAAACUUGCAAUUUACAAGUUCACUAUCCUCUCCCCAGUAAAUCAUGCAGGCAUUGACACAAGUAUGAAUUUUUUCAACUGGCAUGUUCAUUCCCCUCAUUAACUUUUUAGUUUCAUAGAAAUUUUUUGGCAUCACAUUAUCAGGCGGAAUCAUCUCAUUCACAUAUUGACAAAUAUCAUCAAAACAUCUUUCAGAGAGGUGAUGUUCAGCCUUGAUAUGCAACAAACAAGCAACAACUGAUAAUUGAGAUGUACGGUUUUACUUUCGUAACAAAAUCAAUAGUUACAAAAAAAACCCAGGUAGUAUGGUUUACCUUAAACUCCUCCCAGUAGAAGUCCUUAAUCUCUGGUGUAACUGACUUCCNNNNNNNNNNNNNNNNNNNNNNNNNNNNNNNNNNNNNNNNNNCAUGAUCGCCCGAGAUACAUUGUUACUUGGCUCCAAACUUGUAUAUAUAUAUAACAAGUAAUUAUUUCAAUACUCAAUUUUAUUUAUAAACAUCAAGCAGUGUCUAGAGUGUAUUAUCAGUUUCUUUAGCGACAAUAUAAGAUCUUAAAGAGGUCGAGGCAGUAAGGAAGAAACAUAUGACACAUAUGAAAGUGUUAUCAAAGAGACAAGGAUUAGAUAUAAAUUAUAAAAUCCUGUCAUUAUCAUAUCUUGAAAUGACUAGCUGGGAGGAGCCGAUACUGAGCUCGGAUUCAAUACAUGAUUCAGAUCUAAGCUUAAUCUAGAACAAGUAAAAAAAAGUUCUAGUAUGAAAUCUAAUGAUAUACUGUAAAGAUAAGAAAAACUUCAGGGAAUGAGGACGGUUGAUAUCAAAGAAAUGUCACACCAUACACACCAAUAAAAGCAAAGUAAACAAUAAAUUUUCCACACAAUCUGAACAUGUAGGUCAAGAGAAAAAGUUCUGGGGAACUGCACAUGGGGAAUUCUGUUGCCCCAUUCUAUAAAUUCCUUACCAUAUGAUGUUGCCACAUUCAACUAUUGCUUCUUAUAUAAGAGAAGUGUAGACAUUAGUGAACAAGCUACUUUCUUCAAGAAUGAUUUUUUUGUAUUGAUUUAAAAAUACCUCAAUUUUUAAUUCAUUCCCCACUAAUACAAUUUAAGAAAAUCAACAAAACUUGUAAACAUUUAUAAAAAAAAGUAUGGAAGAAAUUCAACAAAUCUUAUUUUCUUGCAUGUAGAAAAACAAUGUAAACGAAACAAUAUUGUACACUUACCGUCCCAUGACGAUUUCAAUUGGGAUGCGGGUACCAUCAGUUGUAUUUGACGAAGUUGUAGAUACAAUGUCAUUCCUUGGUAUUUCGAUCCCCACAGAUGAAGAUGGUCCCGAUAUGUUGACUGCAACUGAAUCUGGCGUAACUGGUGUUGGCAGUUCAGGCAAUGAUGGUGCUUGAUCACGUGCGAAACUCGACAUUAGAGGAGAUGCCACUGGAUCUGCUGUCCUUUUUCCAGAAUAUCUACAACGUCCACCCCCCCGAGGUGCCAUAACCGCAAUUUCAAAGUUAAAUGUGGAUGAAGUAAUAUCAUAAUGAUUGAAUCAUGAUUGAUCAAAUUAUAACAAGAAUAGAUAGUUAGUUGAUAUAUCACUUCAAGAACAAGAUCCCUCUGAAAUUUAAGAAAAAACGUAGUUAAUCUAGUUAGCAGAUAAAUAUAUAAACACUUCUAUAAAUAAAAUAAUCUCAUCACUAUUCCAAACAUAGAUCUCGAAUCAUACUGGGAAUAGUUGUUCAAACAAAACAACCAGGAGAAUUAUUAAAACAAAAUAAGUAUACUGGUAAAAGAGACGAAAUAUAAAAUCAACUUAUAUACUACAUUUUAGUAACUCUAACUCCUAUAUUUGAAGAGAUUGGAGCACUUUGACUCUAUUCACUGCCACUUUCAUAGUACGCCUCUUCAUUCUCAUUUUCAUCAUCUGAUUCUGAUUCUAAUUCAUCAUGAAACUCUGUCUCAUCAUCUAAAUUAUCAUCCUCAUCUCUCAAGUUUAUGAAUUCGCCAUUUGGAUCAUUCCGGACAAUAGUUUCACUAUCGGACACUACAUCAAAUCUUAAACCAUCUUCAUCACAUUGGAAAGGCUCAACAACAUCUACUAGAGGGGACACUAAAGAUGAUGGAGACAUAUCCACAAUACCCCGAGCUUUUGUUUUGCACACAACCCACCAAUCACUCUUAUCACAUCAUAAGCUAGGAUAAGUAGCAUAAUACAUUUGAGCCGCUUGCAUUGCCAAAACAAAUGGUUCGUACUUCCUCAAUUUUCUUCUAUGAUUGAUAUCCACAAGUUUAUAUUGUGGGUGAAUCUUCAUUCCUACGUUUGGUGUGGGGUCAAACCAUUCACAUUUAAAUAAAACAGUUCUUUUGAUUGGUGUACUGCCCUUGUACUCCAAUUCAAGAAUUUCAGUAAGCACACCAUAGUAGUCAUUCUCAUCUGCACUAUAAUUUGUUCCUUUUAUGCAAACUCCACUGUUAUUAGAUGCUCUAGACAAACUGCGUCCUUUAGUGUGAAAUUUAAAGCCGUUGACAUUAUAACCAGUGUAUGGCUUCGCUGUCGACAUGGACCUUCUGCAAGCGCCUUGAUGAACUGAUUAUCUAUGUGGACUCGGGCCUAUCAAAUUAAAAAAUAUUAGAGUUUCUUAUAAGUAAAGUAAGUACAGAUGAAAAGAUAUUGUACAACUGCUCACAUAUCUUGUGAACCAUGAUGCAAAUUCUUCAUCAAGUUUUCUGUCCACUUCCUGCUCCGUAAUUUGUGGAAACAUUUGAUGAAGAGAGUCAAUAAAAUUCCUUUGGAUCACAUAAAAGAAAAAACUAUGUAAGAUUUUUUCUGAUAAUUUUAGUGUAUAAAUGAAAGCAAAAGUUUGAAAUCUUACUCCACAUAUGGCUGCACUUCUCUACAAUUUAGUAAAAUAUAAAUAUGAGCUGCUUUAAGUUCUUCUUCAGUAAGAUAUCUACGAUUUAGUUCCCCAAAUCCCCGACCUGGAUAGGUGAAUAUAGAAAGAUUAUCAUCGUAUCCAUCUUGUUCAUCCAUACCACCAUCGUCAUUCUGUGGCACUUUUCUAUGCCUUGUGUAAACAUGAGGCUCGAAGUAGUGUGAACAAAAUGAUGAAGCUUCCUCAACUAUAUGUGCGUUGCAUAUGCAUCCUUCGACAUGUGCCUUAUUUCGAACAUUAUAUUUAUAUUUUCGGAGAUUUCUGAAAAUAGCACAAAAGCUCAAGGCAUUAGUCACUCAUAAUGAUGAAAACAAAGUACUUAAAUAGUCAAGUCUAUUUUGGUGGUUAGGGACAGAUGAAAGAAAUUGUAUAUUAAGGGUUUUGCAUCCAAGCAUACAUGUUACAUCUGUUUUUGCAACCACAAAAGGUUAUUAAACUCAUCAAAACUGCGUGUAGGAAAUAUUUAUGAACAGGGGAAACCAAUAUUACUAAAAGGAAACUUGUAGUCUGGGACAAGGUGACUCUUCCUAAAGGUUCAAGAGGCUUGAAUAAUUAUUUAAAGACCUGGAAUCAAGCUGCAACAUGCAAACUGUUGUUGUUGUUGAGUCAGAACAAGGAAAAACUAUGGAUUAAUUGGGUCCAUAGACACUAUAUAAAUGACAGGAGACUACCAGAUCACAUAGAGUUUCCCGAUAUGCUUCUUGGAUGAUAAGAAAGAUGUUUCAUAUGUGAAAAUUCUGGCAGAUUAUCAAUUUAUAUAAACAAACAGAUCAUAAGGGGGGAGUAUAAAAUAUCAUAUACUUUAAACUUUAAGAGGUUUUUUGCAAAAGAAGUUCCUUAUAAAAAUCUUGUAUGUCAUAAUAUUUCAUGUUGUCAAGACUGACCUAUGCAACUAGUUAAGAAGAAGAAAAAGGUUAUUUGAGCUUUCAAGUUCUCUUUAAUUAGAUUAUAACUUUAUAUUAGAGAUAGUGAUUAGGAUUGGAAGGUUAUUUAGGCGUUGUCUGAGAAGGGAAGGUUGUUGGUUGGCUCCUCCCUAAGCUUUUUAUUGUCGCCUGGUGAUUAAUAAAAUAAGUUUAAUUGCAAAAGAAAUAAAGUACUUGAAUAUAUAAAUGAAGUCUUACCUCUCAAAUGGAUACAUCCAUCGAUAUUGUACCGGACCAGCUAUCAUUGCUUCGUAAGCGAGAUGCACAGGGAGAUGCUCCAUUGAGUCAAAGAAGCUAGGAGGGAAUACACGCUCUAAUUUACAAAGUAUUUCAGGUAUUUUUUGUUGUAGUCUUACCAUAUCCUCUUCACGAAUUACUGUAGAAGUGAUAUCCCUAAAGAAAAGGCUCAUCUCAGUAAGUGCUUCCCACACUUUUUUGGGUAAUAGCUCACGGAAUGCAACAGGUACCAAUCUUUGCAUAAAUACAUGACAAUCGUGACUUUUCAUACCGAAUAACUUGUGUUUUUUCAUUUCCACACACCUUCCCAUAUUCGAGACAUAUCCAUCAGGAAAUUUUAGAUUUUUCACCCAUUCACACAACAAUUUUUUUUACUCUUCUUUCAGUGUGUAAAUAGCUUUCGGAUACUUCCCAUCAACAGCAUGUAAUUCAGGGCGUCGACAGUAUUCACACAACAAUUUUUUUGACUCUUCUUUCAGUGUGUAAAUAGCUUUCGAAUACUUCCCAUCAACAGCAUGUAAUUCAGGGCGUCGACAGAACUCUUUCAAGUCUUCUCUUGAUUUGGGAUUAUCUUUUGUUUUACCAUUUACCUCCAGCACUGUGUUGAACACAUUCUCAAAGAAGUUCUUCUCAAUGUGCAUUACAUCUAGAUUAUGCCGAAUGAGAUUAGUACUCCAAUAUGGCAAAUCCUAGAAUAUGCUUCUCUUCUUCCAACCAGAAAACUUACUAAUCUGACGAUUAAUAAUAUCAGCCCCAAGUUCUGUUACCUUUUCAAGUCCUAGUUCUUCUAUCUCUUUUAAGACACCUUCUCCUGAUCGUAAUGGGGUAGGCGGCAUGGUUACUACCCUGUUCUUUCUAAAUGAGUUCUUAUCCUUUUUGUAUGGAUGAUUAAGUAGCAGAAACUUACGGUGGUUGUCAAACCAGGACUGCUUACCACCUUUUGUCAAAAUAAAAACAUCAGAAUUCUCCAUACAAUAUGGACAUGCUAGCCUGCCUGCAGUACUCCAUCCAGACAACAUCGAAUAUGCAGGAAAGUCACUUAUUGUCCACAUCAAAGCAGCUCGCAUUUGAAAAUUUUGAUUCUUAGAGAUAUCAUAUGUGUUGACACCUACAUUCCAUAGGUUCUUCAACUCAGCAAUCAAAGGCUGCAAGAAGACAUCUAGUUGCUGCUUAGGAUUCUUUGGUCCAGGAACUAUAACAAAUAAAAAUAAAUAUGGAUCUUUCAUACACUUCCAAGGAGGUAAGUUGUAUGGUGUCACAAUUAUUGGCCAAGAUGAAUAUUGCUUUCCUGUUUGACCAAAUGGCUGAAACCCAUUAGUGGACAGUCCCAAUCUAACAUUACGACUUUCCUCUGAAAAAGAUGGAUGCAUCUUAUCAAAAUGCUUCCAUGCAGGUGCAUCUGAACAGUGACGCAUCACACCUUCCUCAACUUCAUGUUCAGCGUGCCAUCGCAUGUGUGAAACAGUUGCUGUGGAAGCAUACAUUCGUUGCAGUCGUGGAGUAAGAGGAAAGUAAUACAUCUGUUUGAAUGGUACAAGAUUUUUCUUCUGAAUAGAUCUUUGACUUGUAAGCUUAUACCUGGGAUGACUACAAAACUUGCAAUUUACAAGUUCACUAUCCUCUCCCCAGUAAAUCAUGCAGGCAUUGACACAAGUAUGAAUUUUUUCAACUGGCAUGUUCAUUCCCCUCAUUAACUUUUUAGUUUCAUAGAAAUUUUUUGGCAUCACAGUAUCGGGCGGAAUCAUCUCAUUCACAUAUUGACAAAUAUCAUCAAAACAUCUUUCAGAGAGGUGAUGUUCAGCCUUGGUAUGCAACAAACGAGCAACAGCUGAUAAUUUUGAGUGUGUUUCACAACCAGGCCACACUUCUUGAUUUGCAGAAUCAAGCAUAUCAUUAAAAUGUUGGGCAUCAGGAUUAGGUAAUUCCUUCAUAUCAUCUGGAACAAAUGCGGGACCAGCAGCCUCAUGAACCAUUCUAUGAUAAGACGUACUAGGUCUAGGAUCAUCAAAUUCACUAACAUCAACCGGUAGGUUAUUCAUAGUAUGUUCCCAGUUGUGCAUUCUUUCAUCUUGAUCUAUAGUUUCCACAACUUCACUUUCUCCAUGCAAAUACCAUACAUGAUAUUCCGGUACAAAACCUUCUUUUAAUAAAUGCCCAUGGACAAUAUGAACAUUUUCAAAGUUUCUAUUCUGACAUUUCUUUCGGUUACAUGGGCACCUUAAUCUCUCACCAUCCCUUCCUUCUGGAUGACUCAUAGCAAACUCAAUAAAUUGUUGUACACCUCUUAGGAAUUCAGGAUCAUACAAACUUUUGGUUAAUCUUUUGUACAUCCAUUGACGAUUUGAACUCAUUUUACUUAUAAACUUCUUUUCUGAUAAUGUGAGAAGGGCAAAUAGUGAAAUAAAAGCUCACAGAGAAUUGAAAAGAAGAAAUUUGCAGUAUGACAGAAAAUGAAACAGAGAAGAAUGUUAUUUGUUUGAAAUUUAAACUGGAACUCUUUUUUACAGCAGGUAUGUAGGUUGUAUAUAUUAACUAAAUAAUAACCUUUUCUCCUAAAAUAACUCCAACAAAGUCCUAUUCAAAUAAAUAGCUAACUGAUAUCAUUCCUAAAUAUUGAAAACUGAAAUAUUUGACUCUGUCAACUUAAAAAAUCUUAAAACAGUAAAAGAAAACAUAUGUAGAUGCAACUAAUUUUAUAGCAUUGCAAUUAUAAAAUCUUUGAAUAGUUAAAAGGGUGCAAUUUAUAAUCAAGCUAGAAGGACAAAUAAUUCGACUCAAGCUUCUUUUCUUUCUUUUUUAGUAGGUUAGUUUAAUCAAAACUUCGUAAAACAUGUAACUCAACAUAUGAAGGUAAUGAGAAGUAUUAUGUUGUUAGCCCUAUUGAUUUAUAGCUUUUUCAGGUUGGGAGAAGAAACAUGCAAACCAACCUCACAACUAUCUUAAUUAGGCAAAUCCUCUUAUCAAGGGAAUUCAAAAACAAAUGUGUAUAUUCGCUCUUAUUUAUUCCAGCGAUAACUAAUCAACCACAUACUAUAUAAACACUAUAUACUAACCAAGCAAAUAAAGAAUGUCAGAAGAAUUACAAUUAAUCAAAUCAUACAAAAUAGGAAAAUAAAUAUGAUAAAGAAUACAUACUGUUUAGCCGAAAGGAUUGUGGAACUGAUAAUUCAAGUGUGGUAGAUGAAUUGUAGGUGACUAUAUUUGGAAUUUUUUUUACAUGAAGUGUGAACGUGGGCAACAUUUGGAGAAAGAAAAAAACUGAAUAAUGGCGCGAGUAUAGCUCUAUAUUUUUGGGAGGUGGAUUAUUUUAGCGGCAAUUUUUUUUAUUUGGACUAUUUUUACAAAAAAUAAGCAGAUUCUUAUAUUAUUUUCUUGAACUAUAAAAUACAAAUUGAGUCCAAAAGAAUUUUAACUAAUUUUUAAAGAUUGGAUAUGCCAUAAAAUCAUUUUAUUUAAUAUAAACAUAGAAAAUAAAAAAAAAGUGCAAAAAUUGGAACAAGCAUCGGAGUCUACACAAUACCUACCUCAGCACAAAACAAGCAACACAUGCAAUUAUUUGGACAAAAAGAGGAAACAAGCAACACAAACAAUAUUUUGUACAAAGAGAGGAUGAAAGGGUAAGAAGACAUAUGUUAGACGACACGCCAAUAUGGGUCUUUUUAGCAAAAAUUGAUGCAUCUGAUAGAGCUUGAGUUGAAAAUUUAGGUGAUUUACAGCUGAUGUGAAUUUUUCCUUCAUCUG
RNAcentral lists this long non-coding RNA (8597 nucleotides) under Solanum tuberosum (potato). Its description in RNAcentral is "long non-coding RNA (STUB_LNC005703)". Lineage: Eukaryota; Viridiplantae; Streptophyta; Magnoliopsida; Solanales; Solanaceae. The record is from RNAcentral.